Molecule: long non-coding RNA, 1138 nt
Organism: Esox lucius (northern pike)
Lineage: Eukaryota; Metazoa; Chordata; Actinopteri; Esociformes; Esocidae
Exons: 4
Source: RefSeq, a predicted model, not a curated record
CACUGCCCUGGAUGAGGAACACCCGAACGGCCUGAGUCUCCAUAUCGGUGGCUGUCACCUGGAGGUUACGACGGGCAGGGCGACGCAGUGAGCAGCUGAACCUGCCGGAGCCUGACCACACGCUGCCUCCUACAGGAGGCAGUGUAAGCUGCCGCGGAUUCCCUCAGACUGCUCCACCCAGCACCUAACGACACAAACAGAAAUCUGCAGUUCUGAAAGACAUCCACUGAGAGGCAGUAAAUUGCUUUCAGAUACGAGGCGUAUGACUGGCCCUCUGGGGCCUUCGUCUGGCCGACCAUUGAACCAGCGCAUAACCUGUGGCCCUGCAGGACUAAUGAUUUACCUUCAUGGCUUGACUCAAAGAUAGAGGCUUCCGAAUCAGAAGAGCUGCAAUCAGAAUCUUCACUGCUGGGUGAUUUUUGUGGUCUCUAUUCAAGGGGUGAACAAGAGGUCAAAAGAAAGAAAGAAGAUUUCAGUGUAUACCACGUUUCUCAGUGCCACCAUCCUCUGUACACACUACCAACUAUGAGGACAUACAGGUUACCUUCAUGGUUGCAGAGUUCUUUUGGAAGAUGAACAUCGGUGGGGCAAGAACGUUUUUUUCUGUGGGGAGGGGGACGAAACCACCAGUAGCACAGUUAUUAGAAUUGCCUUUGUUGCAGUUUGACUGAAUGACUGAAGUCCUCCAUUUUCUUUCAUUUCAAAUGUAAACAUUUUAAACCACAACAUUUAUUGUGAUGUAGCCAUAAAUUGUGACCCUUUUCUGGUGACCUAAUUAACACCAACCCUUCUCUGUCCGCAAAGCAGCUCACCAAGUAUUUUAUCAUGGUUUUUUUUCUAUUUGCAACCCUAGCUGUGUAACAUCUGCCGAUAUUCUGAAGAGAUACACAUACUUUAUCAUGUACUUAUUAUUAUGUUUAUGAAGGCCUAUAGCACUAUAGAUUAUUAUUAUGUAUAUUCACAUGUAUUGUGUGCCAUUACAUAUAUUUACAUGUACUGUGUAUUAUAACCCAUAUUAACAUGUUUAUUAUUAUCUAUAACCGUAUUGUGCUGUGUUACGUUCUGCUUGGACCCCAAGGAAGAGUACCCACUGCCAAAUUGUAAAUACUGUCUCCAAAAUAAACAUCUAACCCAAGAA